Molecule: ribosomal RNA, 253 nt
Filed under: uncultured bacterium
Lineage: Bacteria
Description: partial 16S ribosomal RNA
Rfam family: Bacterial small subunit ribosomal RNA
Source: RNAcentral
UACGUAGGGAGCAAGCGUUGUUCGGAUUUACUGGGCGUAAAGGGCGCGUAGGCGGCAAUUCAAGUCAGCUGUGAAAUCUCCGGGCUUAACUCGGAACGGUCAGCUGAUACUGCUUUGCUAGAGUGCGGAAGGGGCAAUCGGAAUUCUCGGUGUAGCGGUGAAAUGCGCAGAUAUCGGGAAGAACACCCGUGGCUAAGGCGGCUCUCUAGUACGGUACUGACGCUGAGACGCGAAAGCGUGGGGAGCGAACAGU